RNAcentral lists this long non-coding RNA (315 nucleotides) under Brassica napus (rape). Its description in RNAcentral is "long non-coding RNA (BNAP_LNC012162)". The record is from RNAcentral. Lineage: Eukaryota; Viridiplantae; Streptophyta; Magnoliopsida; Brassicales; Brassicaceae.
UCUGAAAUUAACCAGAAGAAUCUGAUUCUAAAAAUGCAGAUUUUUUUUUAUUUUGGAAGCUACGGACCGUUACUACUUAUUACGCUUGGCAGCGCGUCUUCCGUUACCCUUCCUUGGUGGUACUUUGUCACGACGCUUCAGCAUCUCAAGCUUCGAUAAGCGCCUACAAUUAAGUUAAUAACAAACAAACUCGAGAACAAAAAAACUCAAGCUCCAACACUAGACUAAUGCAAGGCUUAUCAACUACCCCACCAAGACAAGAGGAAUCAAAUCACCUAUACACUCUUUGCAAUGGAAAUGAGUUAUCUAGGCAUU